GAUGAACGCUGGCGGCGUGCUUAACACAUGCAAGUCGAACGGUGAAGCCAAGCUUGCUUGGUGGAUCAGUGGCGAACGGGUGAGUAACACGUGAGCAAUCUGCCCUUGACUCUGGGAUAAGCGCUGGAAACGGCGUCCAAUACUGGAUAUGAGCUGUGGCCGCAUGGUCGGCAGUUGGAAAGAAUUUCGGUCAAGGAUGAGCUCGCGGCCUAUCAGCUUGUUGGUGAGGUAAUGGCUCACCAAGGCGUCGACGGGUAGCCGGCCUGAGAGGGUGACCGGCCACACUGGGACUGAGACACGGCCCAGACUCCUACGGGAGGCAGCAGUGGGGAAUAUUGCACAAUGGGCGCAAGCCUGAUGCAGCAACGCCGCGUGAGGGACGACGGCCUUCGGGUUGUAAACCUCUUUUAGCAGGGAAGAAGCGAAAGUGACGGUACCUGCAGAAAAAGCACCGGCUAACUACGUGCCAGCAGCCGCGGUAA
Molecule: ribosomal RNA, 482 nt
Filed under: uncultured bacterium
Lineage: Bacteria
Description: partial 16S ribosomal RNA
Rfam family: Bacterial small subunit ribosomal RNA
Source: RNAcentral